CCCGUGCCCUGCCGACGGCCCCAGGGGGUGCCCCUGUCCCAGAGGGUGACCGAAGUCCCAGUGGUGUGCCCACGUCCCGGAGAGGUUCUCAGUAGGAGCCCAUGUCCCAGUAAGGGAUCAAGCUGGCACCAACUCGCCUCCCAGCUGGACCUGGAGCACAGUGGCCCAGCGGUGCCAUCUACCAAGGCCUUCCAGGAGCCCAGUGUGGGCACAGAAGGGUCGUGCUUGUGACUAAGGAGGCCAACAGCAGGAAAGCCUUUGCAUUUCUUACUGCUGAAAAUACUUCACAAUUCACGGAAUGGCUGAGGUUGGGAGGCACCGCUGGAGGUCAGUUUGUCCAACCCCCUGCUCCGGCAGGGUUAGGAGCUUUGUCAAAGUGACUGCAUUUUUGGCUAUCCUCUUAACACGGGCUGCCACUUAGCCCCCAAGAGGAUUUUGAGCUGAACCGUGUCCCGGCUGCCCGGCUGCUGAACGCAGCUUGGAUAGAGCCCUGGGCACAGCUCCUUCUCACUGACAAGUUCAGGGCAUAGUCCCAACCACGUGGGACACAGUCCUGCUCCACUGCUGGGCUCAGUGUCCACCAAUGGGCACAGCAGUGGGAGCAGCAGGCUUCAAAAUCCGCCUACACAGGUCCUCCCCAGCUCUGCCUCAGCCUUCCUCACCUGCCAGGUGGGCGGGGAAAGGCUUUGUGACAUCACAGAGCCUUGCGUGACAUCAGCCCGUGACUCGUCACGUCAGCAACCCUUGCAAGCGCAGACACGCAGGGUGGCCACUCGGUUCUGGUGGUCACUGCCUGAACUCUGCUCGGGGUGACAGCCCAAGCCAGAUUGCGCGUCGAGAUUUUUUUCCUCGGCAGAGACCACGAUGAGGCUCAGUCCAGUUCAAUCCCUCACCAUGGCUCUCUGCAUGUUGUUUCUGUUCCCUGGUGGCCUUCACCUUUGCGUCCACGCCGACUGCUUCAUAGUCGGGAUAGAAGUCCUUCCUGAAGACCUGGAGCAGCCACCCGUUGUCGCUGAGAGCGUGGCCUCCGAAUGGACCAGCACCAUUGGCCUUCGCAGCCCCCACGGCUGGGCCAGGGUCAGGAUGGACGUCGCUCCUGAGGGCCUGAAGCAACCGCCCGCUGUCGCCGACAGCAUGGCCUCCGAAUGGACCAGCACCAUUGGCCUUCGCAGCCCCCACGACUGGGCCAGGGUCAGGAUGGACGUCGAUCCUGAGGGCCUGAAGCAACCGCCCGCUGUCGCCGACAGCAUGGCCUCUGAAUGGACCAGCACCAUUGGCCUUCGCAGCCCCCACGGCUGGGUCAGGAUCAAGAUGGCCGUCGCUCCUGAGGGCCUGAAGCAACCGCCCGUCGGCACAGAGAGCAUAGCCUCUGAGCUGCACGGCCCUCUGCGCCGGCUUUGGGACCACCUUGUCCAGCUGGACAGGACCUGGCACCUUUGCAGGGCCUGGCAAACCAUGUGGCUGCUCCACACGGUUUCGAUCGCACUGCGCCUCUGGAGAAAUGUGAAGAGAUCCCAGGGACAGGCAAGUGGACAGACGGCCGCAACUGCCACGGGGCCAGGCCGCCUGGGAAGGCACACCGUCUCCAAAUACGAAUUGCUCUGCCUAAUGGAGGCCAAAAUCACCUUGCUGGUCAGGUGCCUGAGGCAUACCCACCGCCUCCGCCUGAAAGAGCUCCGGCACCAGUACUCCAGGAGGGUGGCACAAGAAAAAGGUAAUUAGAGGAGAGCCUUCUCUAGCUCCCCGUGCAACUCCAGCUAGAGCGUGCGCCCGGCGGAUUGGCAACACGAAAGGCAGUGGUGCAACUGGGUGCUGCCGUCCAUGAAGGGGUGGCAGCCAGCCGAAGGCUCGUGGGGUGAGGACACCUCCACUGACUGCAACCUCUUCUGCUAGCUGGAGGCCAUUAUCGCCCCGACGAUCAUGUUCCUGCACGGUGGCCAUGGCCAAUGGGUGGCCACGUCCUGGCGGGUUGCCCGUGCCCACCUGGCACAACAGCCAACAGGCAUUUGGCAACUCUCUGACGAAGACCCCUGGGGAGGGUCCCCUUUCCCACCCUCCCAAAGGUGCUGCCAGGGUCCACCGGCAUCCAGAAGGCCAGGGCUCAUCCCCGUGUCUCCAAAGGGGACAGCCAGACCAUGCCCGUGCAGCAGAGCCAUCCGGGAAACUCGGCAAAACUCCUGCUGGGAGAAGCCUACUUUCUCCACCUUCCAGCACUCUUCAGACCAAUAAA
RNA transcript from Aquila chrysaetos chrysaetos, 2230 nucleotides. RefSeq lists it as uncharacterized. NCBI's taxonomy places the organism in Eukaryota, Metazoa, Chordata, Aves, Accipitriformes, Accipitridae. The transcript has 4 exons. The record is from RefSeq and is a predicted model, not a curated record.